GACGAACGCUGGCGGCGUGCCUAAUACAUGCAAGUAGAACGCUGAAGGAGGAGCUUGCUCUUCUGGAUGAGUUGCGAACGGGUGAGUAACGCGUAGGUAACCUGCCUGGUAGCGGGGGAUAACUAUUGGAAACGAUAGCUAAUACCGCAUAACAGUAGAUGUUGCAUGACAUUUACUUAAAAGGUGCAAUUGCAUCACUACCAGAUGGACCUGCGUUGUAUUAGCUAGUUGGUGGGGUAACGGCUCACCAAGGCGACGAUACAUAGCCGACCUGAGAGGGGGAUCCGCCACACUGGGACUGAGACACGGCCCAGACUCCUACGGGAGGCAGCAGUAGGGAAUCUUCGGCAAUGGACGGAAGUCUGACCGAGCAACGCCGCGUGAGUGAAGAAGGUUUUCGGAUCGUAAAGCCCUGUUGUAAGAGAAGAACGAGUGUGAGAGUGGAAAGUUCACACUGUGACGGUAUCUUACCAGAAAGGGACGGCUAACUACGUG
RNAcentral lists this ribosomal RNA (495 nucleotides) under uncultured bacterium. RNAcentral describes it as "partial 16S ribosomal RNA". It matches the Rfam family "Bacterial small subunit ribosomal RNA", at positions 28 to 507 of the family's 1533-position model. The record is from RNAcentral.